Molecule: ribosomal RNA, 825 nt
Filed under: Oenococcus oeni
Lineage: Bacteria; Bacillati; Bacillota; Bacilli; Lactobacillales; Lactobacillaceae
Description: bacterial LSU rRNA
Rfam family: Bacterial large subunit ribosomal RNA
Source: RNAcentral
AAGUAGCAGUAGGAAAGUAAAGAAAUUUCGAUUCCGUCAGUAGCGGCGAGCGAACGCGGAAGAGCCCAAACCUGGAUGCUUGCAUCCAGGGGUUGUAGGACUGAUGUUGAGUUACAAAGGUAUAAGAUAGCAGAAACAGUUGGGAAGCUGUUCCAAAGAGGGUGACAGGCCCGUAUGCGAAAUCUUGUACUCUCUAAUCAGGAUCCUGAGUACGGCCCAGCACGUGAAAUUGGGUCGGAAUCUGGGAGGACCAUCUCCCAAGGCUAAAUACUAACUAGUGACCGAUAGCGAACAAGUACCGUGAGGGAAAGGUGAAAAGAACCCCGGAAGGGGAGUGAAAUAGUUCUUGAAACCGUGUGCUUACAAGAAGUUCGAGGCCGUUAAUGGCUGAGAGCGUGCUUUUUGUAGAAUGAACCGGAGAGUUACGAUUGCGUGCAAGGUUAAGGUGCAAAGACUGGAGCCGUAGCGAAAGCGAGUCUUAAUAGGGCGAAUCAGUACGUAGUUGUAGACCCGAAACCGAGUGACCUAUCCAUGGUCAGGUUGAAGGUGGGGUAAUACCUACUGGAGGACCGAACAAGUGGGUGUUAAAAAACCCUUUGAUGAACUGUGGAUAGCGGUGAAAUUCCAAUCGAACUCGGAGAUAGCUGGUUCUAUCCGAAAUACAUUUAGGUGUAGCCUUGCAAUUAGCUUACUGGAGGUAGAGCACUAUUUGGUCUAGGGGCCCUUCAAGGGUUACCAAAAUCAGAUAAACUCCGAAUGCCAGCUAAGUAUGUGCAGGAGUCAGACGGUGAGUGAUAAGAUCCAUCGUCAAAAGGGGAACAGCCC